Molecule: ribosomal RNA, 377 nt
Filed under: uncultured bacterium
Lineage: Bacteria
Description: bacterial SSU rRNA
Rfam family: Bacterial small subunit ribosomal RNA
Source: RNAcentral
UAAUACAGAGGGUGCGAGCGUUGUCCGGAAUCACUGGGCGUAAAGGGCGCGUAGGCGGUCCCCUAAGUGUGUGGUGAAAGCUCGGGGCUCAACCCCGAGUCGGCCGUGCAAACUGGGGGACUCGAGCAUGUCAGAGGCAGGCGGAAUUCCGGGUGUAGCGGUGGAAUGCGUAGAGAUCCGGAAGAACACCGGUGGCGAAGGCGGCCUGCUGGGACAUGGCUGACGCUGAGGCGCGACAGCGUGGGGAGCAAACAGGAUUAGAUACCCUGGUAGUCCACGCCGUAAACGAUGGGCACUAGGUGCUUGGGGGAGCGACCCCCUGAGUGCCGGCGCUAACGCAUUAAGUGCCCCGCCUGGGGAGUACGGCCGCAAGGCUG